Molecule: unclassified non-coding RNA, 388 nt
Filed under: soil metagenome
Description: partial contains 5.8S ribosomal RNA, internal transcribed spacer 2, and large subunit ribosomal RNA
Rfam family: 5.8S ribosomal RNA (bases 1-121)
Source: RNAcentral
GAUGAAGAACGCCAGCGAAAUGCGAUAAGUAAUGUGAAUUGCAGAAUUCAGUGAAUCAUCGAAUCUUUGAACGCACCUUGCACCCUUUGGCAUUCCGAAGGGUAUGCUCGUUUGAGUGUCAUUGUACUCUCACACUCUCCGAUCCUAUGGAUUCGGGGAGCGGUGGACUUGGGUGUUGCUGCCUUUCCCUGUGGCUCACCUCAAAUGCGUCAGUGCACCUCUUGGUUGGACAUAGUACGGCGUGAUAAGUGUCUUCGCCGGCACCUCGCAAGAGGGUGGCCGAUCGGGAGCUCUGCGCUUUCAAACCGUCUUCGGACAAUUUCUGACAUCUUGACCUCAAAUCGAGUAGGACUACCCGCUGAACUUAAGCAUAUCAAUAAGCGGAGGA